AUGCCGUGCAUGGCACGCGGGCUUGGAAUAUCCUAUUUGCCGAUCGUUGCGUCAAACUGCCGGUACUUCGCACAGGCGAGCGACCGAGCAGCGACGCAACGGGACAGCCCGUUUAACCGUUCCAGCACUCCCGGUUUUGGGAACCUUCUAGAGGCAGACAAGCACGGCGGCACAGGGCGGGCCACGGGCCGGGCACAGCCCGGGCCGGGUCUGUCACGUGCAGGCACGCGAAAUUCAACACGUUUGGCCAGGUUUGGCCCCGACCCGCCGCUCCCCCACCCCCCCCUCAUUCCCAUCCCCGACUCGCCGCGGCCCCGCCCCCCACCCCGAUCCCCGACCCGCCGCCGCACUCCCCACCAUCGCCGCACCCCGGCGGGCACUGCCCUAAUCGGAUCCAACCAUGAUAUCCGAGACGCAGUGCGCCCCGCUCCGGCGAUAUCCCCCAAUUACUUACUCUCGUUCCAGAGCGCGAUGGCGAGAUCUGGCGGCAAGCGAGGCGUGAUGGAGCACCACUGCCUGAACCGGUUCCGCCGCCGGCGACUCCUCGCCUUCCUCCGCCGCAACAAUCUUCCCUCCACCUUGGACGCGCUGAAGCACGAGACGCGCGUCUUUCUCGAUCUGCGCUUCCUGCGGCGCCUGGUGGCGGACGGCCGGUGGCAGCAGGCGCGAGAGUACUUCAGCCGCUUCCUGCCGUGCCGGAAUGAGGUCGACGCGCACACCGCGCUCAGAUUCAUCACUCGCCUCAGCGUUCUCGACGACAUGGCCCAGGGGAAGCUGGGGUGCAUCGAUGCGGCCGAUGAUCUCCGGACCCAACUCGAGUCUUACCCUUCCAGCAUGAUCGAGGCCGACCCGCACUACGCCGAUGCUGUCUGCGCAAUCUUAUACAAUGGCUCUCACCCGGCUUACUGGGAUCCCGUGGACUGGCGGCUCAUUAGGCUCAAAGCCGCACAGGUUGUCAAGGACUUGGUCACGCGAACCACUGAGCAUCUGCUGCGGUUGCCGCGGUGUCCAAGCCACCCAUGUUACACCAUCCCCUUCGGGUUUGGGGGUUGCCGGAGGCAUAAGAGGAAGAACAUAGGCUGGAUGUCGGCAUCUCUUCUUGCCCGCCGUUUUCUUCAGAAAGAGAGGCGUCCUUCCUCACCAUGCACUCAAGGGUUAUCGUGUGAACCUAUGGAUUUGGAGGAAAUUAUUGAUGAAACUUUGCUAGCUGGGAAGCAGGAGGUCAAAGAACAUUCAGAUUCUUGCAGUGAAGGCAUUCCAACAGUACCUGCUAAUGCAGGCGCGCCGGCAUUGGGCUUGCUGGCGUCCUUAGGGGCGAUUGUGCCCUCUGCCCCAGCGCCGUCCGCCCUCGUCCUCACCCCGGAGCAGACGACAGCCGCAAUCCUGGAAUUACGGCAGGCCGUGGCGGGCAUCAGGGCCUUCCUCGUUGGGCCCUAUGUGGCCCAACAGCCUCCUCCGCCGCCACACCAACAGCAGCUACCCCUGCCACCACCGCCCUCGGACGCGCCCACGGCGCCGGAUGUCGUCAAUGCAGUGGACGCUGAUCAUGUUUUAAAUAAAGUAAAGGCCCUGGGAGACAUUUCAAAUGCCAUGAUCAUGCUAGUGAAGUACACAUCCACACAUGGUCCAGAUCCCAGGAUGUUCGUGGAGAAAUUAAUGGAGCAGGAGAAGCUGUUAUUCGAACUGCGAUUAGAUUGCAUAAAUGCAAUGAUAAGAGGCUGUAUUUCCGCUCCGAUCCGGGUGAGGCAUUUCCACGAGCACGUCACGGCCGCGCCACCCCACCGCUGCCAUGUUGUAAGGCAGGCGGCAGAACUGGUUCGAGCAAACACGCGUGGGCUGCCUUCGUGUUUGCUUGCUGAAGUUGCCUGUGAUCAGUUUUGCCGUUCUCUUUCUCUUUCUCUACCGUGUUUUGAUGGCGCCCGAGUGAUGCAAGAAUCAUCACCGUUCUCUUUCUCUGCCUUUCUGUAUAGGGGUGCGGAGCACCCGAGAGCUCCUGUGUAUUUUCCCUCGAUGCAGCCUCUUUUGUGGAGGAAGGAGUUGGAGUUACUCAGAGUACUUGGUGGGAGCGGCGACAACGAUAUUUCCGGAUUGUGUGGACAUCUCUACCUUGAUCGGGAAGGUCAAAUUUAA
This 2130-nucleotide ribosomal RNA is filed under the name Triticum aestivum (bread wheat). Its description in RNAcentral is "partial small subunit ribosomal RNA". Lineage: Eukaryota; Viridiplantae; Streptophyta; Magnoliopsida; Poales; Poaceae. The record is from RNAcentral.